CGUAUGUAACCUACCUUUAUCAGGGGGAUAGCCUCUCGAAAGAGAGAUUAAGCCCGCAUAAAAUCACAGUGCAGCAUUGCAUAAUGAUCAAAUAUUUAUAGGAUAAAGAUGGGCAUGCGGAACAUUAGCUAGUUGGUAAGGUAACGGCUUACCAAGGCUACGAUGUUUAGGGGAUCUGAGAGGAUGACCCCCCACACUGGUACUGAGACACGGACCAG
RNAcentral lists this ribosomal RNA (218 nucleotides) under uncultured bacterium. RNAcentral describes it as "partial 16S ribosomal RNA". It matches the Rfam family "Bacterial small subunit ribosomal RNA", at positions 116 to 334 of the family's 1533-position model. The record is from RNAcentral.